This 443-nucleotide ribosomal RNA is filed under the name uncultured bacterium. RNAcentral's name for it is "partial 16S ribosomal RNA". It matches the Rfam family "Bacterial small subunit ribosomal RNA", at positions 338 to 795 of the family's 1533-position model. The record is from RNAcentral.
CCUACGGGAGGCAGCAGUGGGGAAUAUUGGACAAUGGGGGGAACCCUGAUCCAGCGACGCCGCGUGAGUGAAGAAGUAUUUCGGUAUGUAAAGCUCUAUCAGCAGGGAAGAAAGAAAUGACGGUACCUGACUAAGAAGCCCCGGCUAACUACGUGCCAGCAGCCGCGGUAAUACGUAGGGGGCAAGCGUUAUCCGGAUUUACUGGGUGUAAAGGGGGCGUAGACGGCGAUGCAAGUCUGAAGUGAAAGGCGGGGGCCCAACCCCCGGACUGCUUUGGAAACUGUAUGGCUGGAGUGCAGGAGAGGUAAGUGGAAUUCCUAGUGUAGCGGUGAAAUGCGUAGAUAUUAGGAGGAACACCAGUGGCGAAGGCGGCUUACUGGACUGUAACUGACGUUGAGGCUCGAAAGCGUGGGGAGCAAACAGGAUUAGAUACCCUAGUAGUC